UUGACCUCAAAUCAGGUGGGACUACCCGCUGAACUUAAGCAUAUCAAUAAGCGGAGGAAAAGAAACUUAACAAGGAUUCCCCUAGUAACUGCGAGUGAAGCGGGAAAAGCUCAAAUUUAAAAUCUGGCGGCCUCCAAGCCGUCCGAGUUGUAAUUUAGAGAAGCGUUUUCCGCGCCGGACCGUGUACAAGUCUCCUGGAACGGAGCGUCGUAGAGGGUGAGAAUCCCGUCUUUGACACGGACAACCGGGGCUAUGUGAUACGCUCUCGAAGAGUCGAGUUGUUUGGGAAUGCAGCUCAAAAUGGGUGGUGAACUCCAUCUAAAGCUAAAUAUUGGCGAGAGACCGAUAGCGAACAAGUACCGUGAGGGAAAGAUGAAAAGCACUUUGGAAAGAGAGUGAAACAGUACGUGAAAUUGCUGAAAGGGAAACGCUUGAAGUCAGUCGCGUCCUUCGGAAUUCAGCCCCCGUGGUGUACUUUCCGUCGGACGGGCCAGCAUCACUUUUGACCGCCGGAGAAAGGCGGGGGGAACGUGGCACCCUUCGGGGUGUGUUAUAGCCCCUCGUCGUAUACGGUGGUCGGGAGUGAGGACCGCCUUUUGCAGGAUGCUGGCGUAAUGGCUUUAAACGACCCGUCUUGAAACACGGACCAAGGAGUCUAACAUGCCCGCGAGUGUUCGGGUGGUAAACCCGUGCGCGUAAUGAAAGUGAAAGUUGGGAAGGCUGUCGCGGCCUGC
Molecule: ribosomal RNA, 734 nt
Filed under: Vararia breviphysa
Lineage: Eukaryota; Fungi; Basidiomycota; Agaricomycetes; Russulales; Lachnocladiaceae
Description: LSU rRNA
Rfam family: Eukaryotic large subunit ribosomal RNA
Source: RNAcentral